GGGGGUAUAGCUCAGUGGCAGAGCAUUCAACUGCAGAUGGAGAGGUCCGCGGUUCAAAUCCGGGUGCCCCCU
Molecule: transfer RNA, 72 nt
Filed under: Necator americanus (New World hookworm)
Lineage: Eukaryota; Metazoa; Nematoda; Chromadorea; Rhabditida; Ancylostomatidae
Rfam family: tRNA
About the family: Transfer RNA (tRNA) molecules are approximately 80 nucleotides in length. Their secondary structure includes four short double-helical elements and three loops (D, anti-codon, and T loops).
Source: Rfam by way of RNAcentral